GUCGGCUGCUUGGGAAGUCUGAGGAUUACUGGGACUAACAGGACUUCAGCUGGGGCUUCAACGUGUGGUGUGGGCUUCCUGACACCACGGCCACUGGUUUCCAAGAGUUUCAACAAUAUUUUCAUCAUAUUUAUUGAAGGCCUCACUGACAGACUUCUCAAGGCCCCUCUACCUUCUAUUCGCUGCCUGGCCCCAAAGCCAGUGCCACACAUUUUAGGUUUUUAACUGCAGCAGCACCUAUGAUGUUUCCAAAAUCUGUAUCAUUAAAGUUUGAUCAGAGAAGCAAAACCACCUUGAGCAAAACAAGGAAUUUAUUAAAGAGAUUAGGAUACACAUUGUUAUGAAAGCUGCAACCUGCUGCCCCUGUGUCCAGAAGUGGGCCUGAAGUCAGCAGGGCUGGCAAAUGGAUGUGCAGUGGGAGAGAGUAGGCGUGAGCUGCACCUGCAGGGAGGAGAUGGAACUCCUGUGGAUGGACUGAAACUGAUGUCUUCCACGUCAGCCUCUCAGGCCUCCAACACUCCAGCGCUGAUGAUGAAGAUGACCUGCAGAGGAGCUGGUGCCCUUCACCAUGGAAUUGCUCAUAAACCCAAGAUUCAGUGAAGCUGAAGAAGCAGUUCUGGUGGGAGCUGGAGGAACUGCAGGCACAGCUGCUGCCCUGUACCAAUACAUUGAGCCAGUGGCUGCCUGGCAUUGUGUGUGAGCCACCACAGCGCCUGGCCCUACACAGACUUUGACUGUAAAUAUGACUGCUGUUUCACUUCUGCCUUCCAAAUUUUGCUCAGAUUUUCUGAGAAACAUAGUUCAGCUUAGGUACAUUGACACAGUACAAAGCCACCGCAGUGGCUGGUUAGGGAGGGAUUAUGAAUGCAGGCUGAGAAUGCACGGGAAGCGUUUGUCUAUUUAUAGAGUAGGUACCAUUCAAGGAUUUAUGUGAAUCAGGUGCAAAGAACUCACACAAAGAUGGGGAAAGUUAGUACUUAGAAAUCAGUGAUACUAGAUAACCAAUAAAUAAAAAUAAACUUAUUUUUAGAAAAUAAGAAAAUAGAAAAGCUUUAAUAAAAUAGUAUUGGGCCGGGUGCAGUGGCUCACGCCUGUAAUCCUAGCACUUUGGGAGACUGAGGUGGGCGGAUCACCUGAGGUCAGGAGUUCCAGACCAGCCUGGCCAACAUGGUGAAACCCAAUCUCUACUAGAAAAAACCACAAAAAUUAGCUGGGCGUGGUGGUACGUGCCUGUAAUCCUAGCUCCUCGGGAAGCUGAGGCAGGAGAAUCGCUUGAACUCAGGAGGUGGAGGGUGCAGUGAGCCAAGAUCGUGCCAUUGCACCCCAGCCUGGGUGACAGAACAAGAUUCUAUCUCAAAAAAAUAAAAAUAAAAAUAAAUAAAUAAAAUAGUAUUGAAAUGGUGAAUAAUACUAUUUCAGCACAUCCUAAACAGAUCAUGCAGAUAGUAAGAGGUUUUCUGCAUGAGUUUGCUAGGGCUGCCGUAACAAAACACCAUGGACGGGAGCUUUAACAACAGAAAUUGAUUUCUCACAGUUCUGCAGGCAGGGUGUUCAGGACCAAGAUAUUGGCAGGCUUGGUUUCUCUGAAUCCUCUCUCCUUGGCUUGCAGGUGGCUGUUUUCUUUUCUUUUUUCUUUUUUUUUCUUUGAGAUGGAGUCUCACUCUGUCACCCAGGCUGGAGUGCAGUGGCGCAAUCUCAGCUCACUGCAGCCUCUGCCUCCUGGGUUCAAGCGAUUCUCCUGCCUCAGCCUCCUGAAUAGCUGGGAUUACAGGUGCCUGCCACCACGCCCAGCUAAUUUUUGUAUUUUUAGUAGAGAUGGGGUUUCACCAUGUUGAUCAGGCUGAUCUCAAACUCAGGACUUCGUGAUCCACCUGCUUCGGCCUCCCAAAGUGCUGGGAUUACAGGUGUGAGCCACCACGCCCGGCAGCUUGCAGGUGGCUGCUUUCUUGCUGUGUGUUCACAUGGUCAUUCGUCUGUGUGUGCACACGUGUAGUGUCUGUGUCUGUGUCCUAGCCUCCUCUUCUUAUAAGGACACCAGUCAAACUGGAUUAGGGCCCACUUUCCUGACCCCCUUUUACCUUAAUUCCCAUUUUAAAAGGCUUAUCUUCAAAUACCAUCACAUUCUAAGGUACUGGGGGUUAGAGCUUCAAUAUGUGAGUUUUAGGGAGACACAGUUGAGCUCAUAACAUUUUCUAUAGAACAAUCAAGUUUGAGACAUGCCACAUGCUAUAUUUUCUUCUUGGAAAUUUGCAAGGUAUAUAUGCAUAUGAAUGACUGUGCAAAGUCCUGGAAAACAUCCAGUAUUCAUCUUUCACACUCUCCCUGUUUGAUCCAUUAUUUAUUGAUAACCUUCCACUGGCUUCCUUUAUGCAUUGGCUGAGUGCAUUGAGCUGCCGCAUGGAAAUAUGAUCUGCCGGCUGCCGCUGGCAGUCAGGAAGGGAAGGUGGACAUGGAGAGAGCAAGCAAAAGCUGGAGUCUCAAGGAGAUGAAGUGGAACCCAGGGCUGUAUCUCAUUAGAGCGCAUGUUGGCCUCUCAUCACUUCCAGGCCUCCGGCUUUGAAGAUGCUCGGGGAGUUGCUUUGGAGGGCUACGUGGAGAGAAUGGGAUUGGUAAGUGGGCAAGAGGGUUGGUUCUUGCUGGAUGGAAUUGCGUCUUCCAUCUCUUCCAAGGGGACUUCUGGAUUGCCAGGGGCCUGGCAUGUCCUGCCUCACCCAUACUUGCUGGCCAGGGUGAGUGGCCUCUCACCUGGCCUAACCUUGCUGCCCUCUUUGUUGUGCUCUUUGUGGGUGAGGAAAAGAGCAGAGCUGCGGAUGCCACUGGAGCGUGGCCAGGCUGGGUGAGGACCCACACAGAAAAGUGUGGGCAGGCGUGGUGGGUGGGGGCGGGGGAUAAGGCAUGGGCCCUGGGCAGUCAGCCAGUGCCCCCGUCACGCCCUGGCUCCAGGUGUCCAGCAUCAGCCGUGUGCACAUCCCACCUCGCAGGCCUCUCCCGGCUGCUGGCCCACUUUCUGCAUGCUACUCCUACUUCUCUGACCUCCUGCUCAGCUCAGCUAUCCUAGCUCCGAGUUUCGCCUUUCUUCUUGAAUACAAUCAGAAUUCUCUCUGUUGGCCCUGGACCCCCAUGCUGAACAAUUCCCAUGGUGCUGGCCUUCUCUCAAUCCUCUGAAUUAAACCCCAGACUCACUGCAAGUCUUCAGCCAAGUGAAGACUUCCGGUGGCCUCUCUGCCACCCUGGCACUCGAGGAAGCAGAUGCUUCUCUCUCUUCCUGUAGUGCUCUUACCAUGAAUCAUCUCCAGGUCCUCCCAACAGGAUCAGUCAGCUCCUCAUCUCAGCUGUGCUGUAACCCUGGUAUCUCUGCAGCCUGGUGAAGAUGACGGUGUUUUAAUGAAGCGUACAUCUCUACAGUAACUGGCCUGGCACAUGCAAACAGGAACAGCAGCUUCCUCUCCUGCAAGGCACGGUGCAGAUUGCUUUCCACGCAUUAUUUCUGCUCCUCGCACCACCCUCCCCAACCCGAAAGAUAGAGCAUAUUGUCCUAAUUUUACCAAGCAGAAAACUGGCUCCCAGAGAGCAGCUCUGCUCAGCUAGGGCAUGUCAGAGCACUGCCUGGGACCCACAUCUCCUGACUCCAGGGCCAAGGCACCUCUGGGCCCUCACACGGGCAUUAAUAGAGAUACAUUUCAUGUUCAAACCAGCCCUUUGGCCAAGCAUCAUCCUCAGUCUCUCAGAACUUACUGCAUUUUCUUCUAAACCCCAAUUCAAAAGUUCCAUAUAGCAUGGUGGUUCGUGCCUAUAAUCCCAGUGGGAGGCCAAAGUGGGGGGACUGCUUGAAGCCAGGAAUUUGAGACCAGCCUGGGUAACAAAGCGAGACCCCAUGUGUAAAAAAUAAAAUAAAUGAAAAAUUAGCUGGGCGUGAAGGUGCACUCUUGUAGUCCCAGCUACUCCAAAGUCUAAGGCGGGAGAAUUACUUAAGCCCAGGAGUUCGAGGCUGCAAUAAGUCAUGAUUGUACCGUAGCACUCCAGCCUGGGUGACAGAGAGAGACCCUGUCUCUAAAAAACAAAAGAAAUAAAAAAUUAGCUGAGCAGGGUUGCACAUACCUGCAGUCCCAGCUCCUUGGGAGGCUGAGGCAGGAGAAUUGCUUGAGUCUAGGAGGUCAAGGCUGCAGUGAGCUGUGGCCGUACCACUGCACUCCAGCCUGGGCGACAGAGCAAGACUCUGUCUCAAAAAAAAAAAAAAAAAAGUCCCUCAGUAGGCUCUGUCAUAAUACUCCCCUUGGUAUUCACUGCACUUGGUAACCCUGAAACAAUUCCUACAGUGAACCCCAUUCACUGAAUUGCUUUGGGAAACGUACACUUUCUAAAUUAAAGCUGUCACAUUAGUGUGAGAGUUAUGCUUACCCAGGAGGUCUGGACGCAUUUCUCUCCUGGUUUGGCCUUGAUCUGUUAUCCUUGCGGCUUCCUUUUUCAGAAUCUCCCUCUCUCGUCUCUGCCUCCACAGUCGGUCCCCACCCCACAUCUCACAGAAUGUAUUUGCAUUCUAAGCAACAUCCCUUCAAACCUCACACAUGUCUUUUUCUCCUAUAUAUAUUUAAAAGUAAUACAUUUAAGGAUGUGCCAACUUAAUUAAAUACUCUUGAGAUACUCACAAAAUCAUGGGAGUUGUCCAUGGUGGCAUUUCUUCUUUUUAUCUUGAGAUGGAGUCUAGCUCUGUCACAGUGGUGUGAUCUCGGCUCACUGCAACCUCUGCCUCCUGGGUUCAGGUGAUUCUCUUACCUCAGCCUCCCGAGUAGCUGGGAUUACAGGCGCCCACCACCAUGCCUGGCUAAUUUUUGUAUUUUUAGUAGAGAUGGGUUUUCACCAUGUUGGCCAGGCUGGUCUGGAGCUCCUGACCUCAGGUGAUCCACCUGCCUUGGCCUCCAAAAGCGCUGGGAUUACAGGCAUGAGCCGCCACACCCAGCCCUGUGGUGCACUUCUUAAGCAGAAUUUUGUGUUCAUGCCAUCGAGAAAGGGCUAGUAAAAUAUUUUGUAUUUCUUUAAGACUUAGUUUAAAAAGCGUUGUAAAAAUAUUUUCUCACCAGAUCCUUAAACAAUCUCUAAGAGGAUUAGGCUGGUUGGUAUUUUACAGAUGAGGAAAUAGGCUCAGAGUGGGUGGGUGACUUGGAGCACCCUGCAGCUGAUGUGGAGGGAGGUCUUCUGAGCCAAGGUCCGUGCACAUUGUCUACACCACACCGCACUACACGUGGUGUAGACCAUGUGCACUGACUUUAGCUCGGAAGACCUCUCUCCACAUCAUGGAUAAAUGUAGCUUUUAUCCAGAGGGCCUACUGACGCCCUGUUUGGUGGACCAGUGCCCUGUAAUAAAAGCAAACCUUAUCCUCUGUUGGAAGUCCCAUGUCCACAAUUCCGUUAAGAAUUCUGGCCUGUGCUUGCGCCCUUGCUGGCUAUAAUGUGAUGGAGAUGUGGUUGAAACGACCACGGGGAGAGUUUCAGUGACAUCUCGUUUUCUCCCCUGAGUCUGGGAUAUGGAACACACAGUCUCUUCCUUCAGCUUCUUAGUCUCCUGGGUGGGAGAGGGGAGGAACAUCCAUUUAUAUCAGGGGUGUCCAAUCUUUUGGCUUCUUCCCUGGGAAGAAGAAGAAUUGUCUUGGGUCACACAUAAAACACACUAACGAUAGCUGAUGAGCUAAAAAGCAAUCACAUACCCAAAAAAAUCUCAUGAUGUUUUAAGAAAGUUUACGAAUUUGUGUUGGGCCACAUUCAAAGCUGUCCUGGGCCUCUUGCAGCCCAUGGGCUGUGAGGUUGGACAAGCUUCAUUUACGCCAAUUGCAGGAGAAAUCACUAGGUUGAUGGAGUUCAGAACCAAUCGUGGCCUCAAGAAAGCUCUCAUUGCCUCGCUACUGCCAGAUAAAAAUGUAGAAUCUGAAACCAAAUCUGUCUAUGCAGGGUUUGGAAACUGGUCACUAUGGAAGCAGAUACAGUCUGACAGUAUAUGACCUUCUGCUGGUUUUGUCCAAGUUAAGCCAGACUUUAUGAGAACAAACCAGCCACGUGAAAAGCUAGAGAAGAACAUACCAGGAAUAAAGACUAGGAAACAGGGAGCCCUGAGGAAGGAAUGCACAGAGUGAGUUUCAGCAACAGAAAGGUCUUCAUUGUGGCUAAAGCAAAAUUGGCAAACUUCUUUUGUAGUGGGCCAGCUAGCAAAUAUUUCAAGCUUUGUGGGCCAUUUAGCCUUGGUUGCAACAGCUGAGCUCUAAAAAAUAAGAGCUGCUUCUUUAGCCUAAAAGCAACCCUGGACAAUACGUAAAUGAAUGGGCAUGGCUAUGUUGCAACGUAACUUUAUUUAUCAACACUGAAAUUUGAAUUGCAUCUCAUUUUCAUGUGUCACAAAAUAUUGCUUUUCUUUUUUCUUUUUUUCUAGCCAUUUAAAAAUGUAAAAAUCAUUCUUGGUUCAGAGGCUGUACAAAAACAGGGAGUAGGCUGGCUUUUGCCUGUGGGCUGUCGUGUGGAGACCUCUAUGCUAAGCACAGUGAGCAGGGAAAAGAAUAGUUGCAGAUGAAAUUAGAAAGUUAGGCAAAGGCCAGACCAUAUGCAGAGAGAGGUUUUAAGCCAUUGAAGGGAGUGUGAAUUUUAUUCUAAUUGCUAUGGGAAAUGUGUGAAGAACUUUAGGCAGGAAAGUGACAUGAUAUAUUUGAAUCACACUCUGGUGCCUCUGAGCAGACUGAACUAUUGGGAAAAAAAAAAAAGUAGAAGCAGAGAUACCGGUGAGGAGCCUGCUCCAGCCGACCAGGCAAAGAUGAUAAAACACGACACUGGGAAUUCCAUCCCCAGCCUCAAAACGGAUGACCUCUCAGGAUGAGAGAGUGUUUAAGUAUCCAAGAGUUCCCGGCACAUACUUUAUACUCAGAAUGUUAGCGCCAUGUGCUUUUUUCUCUUUCUUUGGUGGAAAAAGCUAAGGAUACUUGGCUUUGUCCAAAUUUCUAAAAUGGGUCGUUCUACUUAAAGCAGGUGAGAUAAUGUCAUUAAAAGCAAGUAGACAUAUGUUUAAGUUCUGUUAAUGACUCUGUGACAGAAUACAGGCACACACACACACACACACACACACACACACACACACACACACAUAUAUAUGUUAACUUUAGGUGUCAGUGACUAGGCUAAAGGAUACCCAGGUAGCUGGUAAAACAUUAUUUUUGGGUGUGUCUGUGACUGUAUUUUAGGAAGAAGUUAGCAUUAGAGUCUGUAGGCUGAAUAAAGAAGAUCUUCUCUCAUCCAUGUGGGCAGGCAUCAUCCACUCUGUUGAGGAAGUGCCAGAAUAGAACAUAAAGCCAAAGGAAGGGUGGUCAAACAUUCUCUGUUUGAAUGAGAACAGCCAUCUUCUCCUGCCCUUAGCCAUCAGUGCUCCUGGUCCUUGGACCUUCAGACUUGAACCAGGACUUACAUCAUCAGCUCUCCUGGUUGUCAGGCCUUCAGACUUGAACUGAAUUAUACCACUGGCUUGCCUACUUCUCCAGCUUACACAUGGUGGUGGGACUUCUUGGCCUCCAUAAACACAUGGGCCAAUUCCUGUAAUAAAUUGCUCUCUCUCUCUUUCUGUGGUAUAUAUAUAUGUGUGUAUACACACAUAUAUAUGGUGUAUAUAUGUGUGUGUGUGUACACAGACACACAUACCUAUUGAUAUAUGGUAUUAGGGUUCUCUACAGAAAUAGAACCAAUAGUCUAAAUACCCCUGAGGGUCAUGGGAAUCUAAGCAUGUCAAUGGAGGCAUUUUUACAUUAUUAACUGAAGAAAAAUGUGGACUUUUAAUGAUUUUUUAAGAUUAGGGAACAAAAAUAAGUCAGGAGUCAAAUCAGGACUGUAAGGUGGAUGCCUGAUGAUUCCCUUUAAAACUCUUGCAAAAAUGCCCUUGUUUGAUGAGCAGAAUGAGCAGGAGCAUUGUCCGGGUGGAGAAGGAGUCUCUGGUGAAGCUUUCCUGGGCAAUUUUCUGCUAAGGCUCUGGCUGGCUUUCUCAAGAUACUCUCAUCAUAAUAAGCAGAUGUUAUUGUUCUUUGGGAAUCCAGAAGGUCAACAAGCAAAAUGCCUAGCGCAUUCCCCAGAAUGGUCACCUUUGCUCUUGACCAGUCCUCUUUUGCUCUGACUGGACCACUUCCACCUCUUGGUAGCCAUGGCUUUGAUUGUGCUUUGUCUUCAGGAUUGUACCGGUAAAACCAUGUUUCCUCUCCUGUUACAAUUCUUUGAACAAACGCUUCAGAUUAUUGAUCCCUCUUGUUUGAAAUUUCCAUAGAAAACUCUGCUCUUCUUUGCAGCUGAUCUUGGAGCAACAGUUUUGGCACCCAUUAAGGGGAAAGUUCACUCAACUUAAUUUUUUAGUCAGAAUUGUGUAAGCUGAACCAAUUGUGAUGUCUGUAGUGUUAGCUAUUGUUUCUGCUGUUAAUUGACAGUCCCCUUUAAUUGGGGGCAUGAACAAGACUUUUUUUUUCCUUGCAAAUUGAUGUGAAUGGUCUGCUGCUGUGGGCUUCAUCUUCAGCAUUGUCUCAUCCCUUCUUGAAACAACUUUUUGGGGCUCCUGGAGGCAGCAGAGGCUGAGGCCUGGAGCCAGGCUGGGGCAGCCCUAGGAGGCGUCUUAGCCAAAGCAGGUGUCCUUCGGGGGCCACAGGCCGCCCACCUGCCUCAGGCCCUUGGCCACCCCUCCCCUCCCUGCGCCCAGUCCCCAGUCGUGCCAGAGAAGCUGUGCUACUGCCUGGUGGGAAUUGGGGGAAGGGAAGUCGAGAAGAAGGUCCUGGGGUAGAGCUCGGGCCUGCUGCCCACACAGACUGCCGUGGCUGAGAGAGUAGGAUCUGGCCGUCCCUGUGCCUGUCUUCUUGGAAGGAGCAGGGGCGCCUUGUAGCUGCACCUGUGAGGAGCAGGAUUCUGCUGCAGGCACUCAGCCAGCAGCUGCAGGCUCUGUUGUUUUUACACCGGUGACAAAUGACAUGGCCAGACACACUGCAAUGUCUGAAGAAACCUCUGUAGAAGAGCAGGAUGCUGUGGACGCGCUGUGGCCCAGACAGAGGCUGCCAAGCAGAUGGAACCUGCACUCGGCCAAUUUGGCCAAAGAAGCCCCCAUACUCUCCGUGAAAGAGUUCCACCAGAAGCUGUUGUGUCAGUAACAGUCUCAAAAAAAAAAAAAAUCAAACAACAACAACAACAACAAAAACCCCACAAACCCACCAACACUAAAGAUCAGUUUUGAGUCUGAUUUGAAAGCUAGGAUCCAAUUCUGCAGAGGCAUUGACAUGGCGAGACACCAUCCUAAUAGCCAGAUCUGCAGGUUCCUCCAUCAUGCCAGUGAGAAUGCUCCAUUCACCAUUCCUCAGCUUCUUGUUCUGGUUUCAGAGUUCUGUCUGUAUUGGAGGAGUGUUAAAGCUAGAGGGGUCUUUACCCACUUCCUCUUAUGCCCAGAUCUGAAUAUGGAGGUCAAGAGGGGAAAGUGACAUGUCCUAAGUCUGAGUAGAGUGAACACCCUGCAGAGAGGCCUGGCCUGCUCGCUCGUCAGACUCUGGGACUUGUGCUGUGAGUUCUUUACCCCUUUAUAGGUUCUAUACCUACUUCAUUUUGUGUAUUUACAAAGAUAAAAGCAUUUAAUCAUUAGUUAUUAAUGUUAAGUACACAGCAAAAGCAUAAAUAUGACCUUUAUUCUUGGCUUCAAACCUGAUCUAACUUGCUGAAUUUCUUAUGGGGUCAUAGAUUCAGGGAGAUUCAGGGUGAAUGACUGAUUGUAUUUGUUUUCUAGGGCUGCUGUAAAAGAUUACCACAAUUUGGUGGUUAAAAAAAACAAACAAACAGGAAUUUAUUCUCUUACUGUUCUGGAGACCAGAAAUCUGAAAUCAGGGUGCCAGUAAAAGGCCCUAAUCCUUGCAAAGGUUCUAGGGAGGAUCCUUUCUUGCCUCGUCCAGCUUCUGGUGGCUCUUGCAGUUCCUUGGCUUGUGGCUGCAUCACUCCAAUCCCUGCCUCCAUCUUUACAUGGACUUCUCCUCUGGGUAUGCGUCUUCUCUUCUAUCUCAUAAUGUCCUUAGAUUUAGGGCCCCCACCCAUGUAAUCCAGGAUGAUCUUCUCAUCUUAACAUCCUUAAUUGAAUUAUAUCUGCAAAGACUCUUUUUUUUCCAUAGAAGAUUGCAUUCACAGGUUUUGGGUGUUAGGACAUGGACAUAUAUUUUGGGGGGGUCACCAUUCAACCUGUUGCAACUAUGGACUCUGUCUUGGACAAAAGGUUACUUUAGGAAAUCAGUGGCAUAAUUUGUCUACGUAUAAGAUGCAAGUUGAUGCAUUGCCCUGGAAUCAUUUCCUAAUUGCUUCCAGUAUGCAAAUCUUACCUCUUUGAUUAAGUUCUAAGUUGUAUGUUCAGGGCUUUUAAAAUUAAAUUCCUGGAUCUAAUUAUGAACUAGUGUCAUCCCAUUGUCUUGGCUUGCAAGAUUCCGAUAAGUUUGCUGUUAACUUUAUUUUUGUUCCUUGUAUAUAAUAUGUUAUUUUCUUCUCUGGCUGCUUUAAAAAUUUUUCUCUUUAUCAUGAGUUUUCAGAAAUUUGAUUAUGAUAUGCCUUAUUGUGUUUUUUAUUUGUUUGAUUACCUUGCUUAUGGUGUGUUGAGUUUCUUGGAUCUGUGAUCUUAAUUACUUUCAUCAGACUUGGAAAAAUUUUGUUCAUUAUUUCUUCAAAUAUUUUUCUCUGGCCUCUGUUUCUCAUUCUGAGACUUCAGUUAUAUAUAUUUUUCAGACAGCUUUGCAUUGUCCCGAGAGUCACUCAGUCUCUGUGCAUUUUUUCUUUCAGUCUUUUAAAAAAAAGUUCUGUGCUUUAUUUUGGACACAUUCGAUUACUAUGAGUUUCUGUCCCUGUGUCUUUUCUGUCUAAUUUUCUGCUAAUCCUAUCCAGUGAAUCGUGAAGAAUAAAGUUUUAUUUUAGAAUAGUCAUAGAUUUAUAGAAAAAUUGUGAAGAUAUACUCUGUAUAUCUGCUUUGCUAUAAAGAAAUGCCAGAGACUGGGUAAUUUAUAAAGAAGAGAGGUUUAACUGGCUUACGGUUCUGUAAGCUGUACAAGAAGCAUGAAUCUGGCAUCUGUUUGUCUUCUAGGGAGGUCUCAGGAAACUUUCAGUCAUGGUGGAAGGCAAUGAGGAAGCAGGCAGUACAUCUUACAUGGCCGGAGUAGGAGGAAGAGAGAGAGGGGAAAGGUUCUACACAUUUUUAAAUGACCAGAUCUCACAAUAACUCACUCACCCACUAUUGCUAGGACAACACCAAGGGGGAUGUGUUAAGCCAGGAGAAGCCACCCCCAUGAGCCAAUCAUCUCCUACCAAGCCCCACCUCCAACUUUGGGGAUUACAAUUCAAAAUGAGAUUUGGGUGGGAACACAGAUCCAAACCAUAUCACCCCAACCCAGUUUCAAUUUUCUGCAUAUGGCCAGCCAGUUUUCCCAGUGCCAUUUAUUAAAUAGGGAAUCCUUUCCCCAUUGCCUGUUUUUGUCAGGUUUGUUGAAGAUCAGAUGGUUGUAGAUAUGCAGUCUUAGUUCUGAGAUCUCUAUUCUGUUCCGUCGGUCUAUGUGUCUUGUUUUUAUACCAGUACCAUGCUGUUUUGGUUACUGUAGCCUUGUAGCAUGGUUUGAAGUCAGGUAGUGUGAUGCCUCCAGCUUUGUUCUUUUUGCUUAGGAUUGUCUUGGCUAUACAGGCUCUUUUUUGGUUCCAUGUGAAUUUUAAAAUAGUUUUUUUCUAAUUAUGUGAAGAAUGUCAAUGGUAGUUUAAUGGGGAUAGCAAUGAAUCUAUAAAUUGCUUUGGGCAGUAUGGCCAUUUUCACGAUACUGAUUCUUCUUAUCCAUGAGCAUGGAAUUUUUUCCAUUUGUUUGUGUCCUCCCUGAUUUCUUUGAGCAGUGGUUUAUAGUUCUCCUUGAAGAGGUCCUUCACUUCCCUUGUUAGCUGUAUUCCUAGGUAUUUUAUUCUUUUUGUGGCAGUUGUGAAUGGGAGUUCAUUCAUGAUUUGCCUCUCUGCUUGCCUGUUGUUGGUAUAAAGAAUGCUUGUGAUUUUUGCAGAUUGAACAUAUUUUUUUAAAAAGAUAAAAAUAAAAAAUAACAAUAAAAUAAUACAAAUAAAAAUACUGUAUAACAACUAUUUACAUAGAAUUUACAUGGCAUUAUGUACUAUAAGUAAUCUAGAGAUGAUUUACUGUAUACAGGAGGAUGCACAUAAGUUAUAUACAAAUACUGCUCUGUUUUAUGUAAGGGACUUGAGUAUCUGUGAAUUUCCUCAUCCAUGGGGUCCUCAAACUAAUUGCCCUUAGAUAAUGAGGGAUGACUAUACUUUAUUUAUUUUAAUGCUCAAAAUUUUACAGCAUUGACUAUCCUUAGUUUGCUACUGUGUUCCUCUGACAUUUUACUUUUUAGCACUUUCUUACAUACUACCAUUUUUUAUUAGCACUUUUUAACUUCUGGCACUAUAAGAUGCUCCAGGCUCAUCUUGUAUAUUUCCUGCCCCAGUCCUAAAAUCAGUCAUUUCUCCAAGGAGGCCUGGUUCCUUUUGUUGGAGAAUGGUUUUAAAAACCAAGAUCUGAGCACUGGCUCUACUAAGUGAAAUUUUCAUUUCAGAUGGUGUACUUUUUUUUUUUUUUUUUUUUUUUUUUUGAGAUGGAGUCUCGCUCUGUUGCCCAGGCUGGAUUGCAGUGGUGUGAUCUCGGCUCACUGCAAGCUCCACCUCCCAGGUUCACACCAUUCUCCUGCCUCAGCCUCCUGAGUAGCUGGGAUUACAGGUGCCUGCCACCACACCCGGCUAAUUUUUCUAUUUUUUUUUUUAGUAGAGAUGGGGUUUCACUAUGUUGGUCAGGCUGGUCUUGAACUCCUGACCUCGUGAUCCACCCACCUCUGCCUCCCAAAGUUCUGGGAUUACAGGCGUGAGCCACCGCGCCUGGCCCAGAUGGUGUACUUUUAUCUUAGAAAUUUCAUUUGGUUCUUUUUUGAAAAUCUUCCAUUUAUUUCCUCAUUAGCUUCAUAUUUUCCUUGAGAUAUGCAUUCACAAUCAUAGUAGCUCUUUAAAAAUAUUCUUAUCUACUAGUUCUAUCAUCUCUGGCUUUUAUCCGUGAUUGUCUUUAUUGAUUGAUUUUUUCUCUCGAUUAUGGGUCAUAUUUUCUUACUUUUUGACAUGUUUGGUAAUUUUUUAUUGGAUUUUAGACAUUGUGAAUUUUACAUUGUUGUGUGUCUGGAUUUUUGUUUACUUGUUUUUUUAUCUUACUUUCAUAAUAUUUUGGUUUUGUUUAGGCAGGCAGUUAUACUUGCAGAUCAGUCAUCCCUUGAGACCUGUUUUUUAGUUUUGCUCAGGCAAGACUAAAAUAGCUUUCAGUCCAGAGAUUGUUCAGCCUUACCAGAGAGACAUGAAUACCUUGGAUAAUCAGUAAGGCCUCUCCAUUCUGGCUCUCAGGAGCUCGAUCAAUUCUAAGGCCCAUGCGAGCUCUGGGAAUAUUUAGUUUAGCAUGUUUUAGUCAUUCUUUGUCCAGCAGAGUGGAAUAUUGUUGUCCACAUACAUGGCCCAAUACUCAGCAAACGCUCAAGUAGACAUACUCUGUAUAAUCACGGCCCAAUACUCAGCAAAUGCUCAAGUAGACAUACUCUGUAUAAUCACGGCCCAAUACUCAGCAAACGCUCAAGUAGACAUACUCUAUAUAAUCACUUCCCUUCCAGAACUCUGCUUCACAACUUCCAGCUGCCUCAGCCUAUCUGAUCUCUGAUGUUUGUUUUCUCAACUCCCUUUCCUGGCUCUUUUUGAGUCCUCCCAUCAUUGCAACUGCAGUACAAAAAUUGCCUCUGUCAUAGAUGAUCACAGGGCUUACUUCGUUUGUUUCUUUCUUCUCAAGGAUCAUAGUCUUGUGCUGCUUAUUACUUAAUGCCUGAAAAUAAUUGCUUUAUAUGUUUUGUCCAGUUUUCUAGUUGUUUUCUCCAGGAUUUCAAGUCCAGUGCUUUUACUCUCUCAUGGCCAACGGUCCCUUUAGUUUUUAUCGUGAUGAUGGUCUUAAUCUCCACUUCUGAUCUUCAUUCUAAUGUUGUGCUAUACAUUGGGAUGCCUUUUAAAUUUGGAAAAUCAUGCUCUUGGAAAUUUUUUAGGAAACGUUCUUAUGUCUUUGCUAACUUCCUGUCUAUUGUCAUCUAAAUUUUCAUUUUCUGGAAUUUCCGUUGGAUAUUGGAUCCCUUGGAUUGAGCCUCCAUUUUCCUUGGUUCUUUCUCCCACCAGGUCCCUCCCUCGACACGUGGGGAUUACAAUUUGAGAUGAGAUAUGGGUGGGGACACAGAGUCAAAUCAUAUCAUCUUCCAAUUAUUCUAUUGAAUUUUAAAUUUCUAUCAUAUUUUUAUUUCUAAGAGCUUUUCUUUGUUCUCUACUUAUUCAUUUUUAUAUUACUUUGCUCUUAUUUCACAGAUGCAAUAUGUUCUCUCAUAUCACUAACGAGGUUAAUUAAAGUUUUUUUGCAGUCUUUUUCCUUGUAUCGUCUUGCUUUUUUCUGGUUCUUCUAUUCUGUUUGUUUUCAUAUUGGUCAUGUAAGAGUUUUUCCUUGAGUGUCUCUUCACCCGGGGGUGGAGGGGUCACUUUUUAAAAGUAAGGCACCAAGGGCCAGUGCAGUGGCUCAUGCCUGUAAUCUCAGCAAUUUGGGAGGCUGAGGUGGGAGGAUCACUGGAGCCCAGGAGGUUGGGGCUGCAGUGAGCUGUGGUCAUGCCACUGCACUCUAGCCUGGCUGACAGAGUAAGACCCUGUCUCAGUAAUAAUAAUAAUAAGAAGAAGAAAUCAAAAAGGCUGACCAGAAAGCUCUGUGUACAUGUGUUGGGCUUAUGAUGCUGGUGGCCUUCGUUGAGGAAAAUUGAGGGACCAGCUCCACUGAGGAAAAUUGAGGGUCUCCACAUAUCAUGAGUUUGCAAGUAUUUUCUCUGGCAUAGCAUCCUGCAAUUUCUUUUCUGAGGAUUUUACUUUGGUUGCUUUUCUGGGUCUGAGCAGUGGGAGGGGGAUGGAGAUAUCUCACUAUUUACUAAGCUGACUGUUCCUCAAUUCUUUUGCCUGGAAAAAACUCCAUUUUUGUCCUCUUCAGUAUCUGCAGCAAGAGGAGUCAACCAGCCACUUGAGAACUGGAUGGAGGUUGAGAAUUGGAGAGACUUAACUGUUCCCUAUUAGCUUAAUCCUGCUGUCCUUCUGUUCAGUUUCCCCUGUUCCUGUGCCUUGCCUUUGAAGAUUCUAUGUGGAAAAUUAGCUCACUUCCCAUAGAAAGCCCCUCAACUCCCUUUGUGGGGAAUGAGGUUUGACUUUCUUUCUCUCUGCUAAGUCAUUUGUCAUUCCUUUUUCCAAAUUCUUUUUUCCUCAUUGACACAUAAUAGAUGUACAUAUUUUGGGGGGUACAUGUGAUAAUUUGUUGCAUUCAUACAUGUGCAAAGAUCAAAUCAGGGUAACUGGGAUAUCCAUGACCUUAAAUAUUUAUCCUUCUUCCAAAAUUGUGUCUUCUCAUUUCAUGUUUACAGAUAUUUCUUAGUUUCCUAAGGAUGGGGUGUAUUUCCGUGACUUGUUCUCCUUGCUGUUUCUGAGUUAUUUUUGAGACAGGGCAGCCGGUGAGUAUGUCUUUACUCUGCCAUUCUGAAACCAGGUCUCUUACAUUUUUAUAGCAGAAAACAUGGCUCACCAUAUCAUGGAUUUCUGUAGUUCCUUUGUUUUUUAAAGUUUAAAACCUAAAGUUAGAGAUAAACAAACUUUUAAUCUACUUUGGGCUUUACAUUGGCUAACUGGAAGAGAUGAAUUCUAUAGAAAAAGGGCUAUGGACACAUACCACCAAGCAUCUGGGUAGAAUCCUACUUUAGUGCACAGGUGUUCUGCCUGUGUGACCACAAGGUAAACAUCUGGAUAUUAGACAUUGUCUUCGUUAGUUUUCACCAGAUGUUUGGUGUUACGGAAUAGGCAUAGCCAUGUAAUUAAAUUAACUCGCACGUGAAACACUGAGUUAACAAAUAACCGGGCGCGGUGGCUCACGCCUGGAAUCCCCGCACUUUGGGAGGCUGAGGCGGGCGGAUCACGAGGUCAGGAGAUCGAGACCAUCCUGGCUAACACGGUGAAACCCCGUCUCUACUAAAAAUACAAAAAAUUAGCCAGUCGUGGUGGCGGGAGCCUGUAGUCCCAGCUACUCGGGAGGCUGAGGCAGGAGAAUGGCAUGAACCCGGGAGAUGGAGCUUGCGGUGAGCCAAAAUGGUGCCAUUGCACUCCAGCCUGGGCGACAGAGUGAGACUCUGUCUCAAAAAAACAAAAAACCAAAAACAAAACAAAUAACUUGAAGCUACUCUUCCGUACAUCCUGCAUGUGACCAUGAAUGAGUGAGCCUGUCAUUACGUCAGCCCAUCCACUGAUGAAUGCUAUAAGAGGGGCCAAGGAAUUCAUGUCUGCGGGCACUGACAUGAAAAGUUACUGACUGUAACUUUUCUCUUUCGUUCCUAAGGAAUCUGUUAAAGUAUCACAAGGAGAUAGUUUUCCAUCUAUGCUUUCAGAGGCUGAAGAGCUGUCUUAGAGAUUUGAUUAAAUGCACAUAUUUCUUCCACAUGUUGGAUCUAGGAUUCCUCCUACCAUCCCUAAUUUAACUGGGAAACAACCCUUCUUUUAUAACUCUACUGAUAUCUUGAAUAUAUAAUUCAGCAAAAUCCCCUUGGCUUGAAAACUGAGCUGGAUUGGACUAGAGGACCGAAUGCGUUUGUCAGAUUGGUGCUCUCGGUGGAGUGAGAAGAUGUUUAAGUCUGAAGGCCACUGUCAAGGAUUUUUAAGGCUGGAUAUUAGCAACAGAUACAUAUACACACAUAAAUCUACUUUUGAUUACUCUGCUCUUUAUUUUCAACCUGUUCUGUAAGGUAGAGCUCAAAUCCCACUCCCUGGCGGAAGCUUUCUGAGCCUUUCCUUGGGCGUCCUCACUGGCUUCCUUGUUUACGAUUGGCAGUUGGUUAGCUCUGUGCUUGACUGAUGCCAGUGUCACCUUGAAAUGAGGGACCUCUAUCUCCUGUACCUCAGAAGAGGUACAGUGGAAACUGGAUGAAGGCACCUGCUCUUCCCAAAGCCUCUGAACUGGCGCUGUGGGCUUAGAGUAGUGUUGAGCAGAAAUGUACACAGCACUUUGUUCUCCAAGCGCACUCAGUGCGACCGGCCCCACCAGCGGCUUCCUUCCUGGGGAUGCAUCCAGCCGGCCUGGAAGGUGCUGGGUCGGUUCUCCAAGGUGAUGUAGGCGAACUCCAUGGUACAAGGCAAAAGACCUCCAGAGUAGGUGCAGGAUUCAGGCCAGCAUGAGAGGAAUGUCCCUCCACCCCUCACAGUUCUACACUUUAGGAAACUCUCAUCCUUUAGGCAGCAGAGAUACACAGGAAGGGCUAAGAUGGGCUGCUGUCACAGGGAGAGCCGGCAGCCUCAGAGGGAACUGAGACGAUUGCUGGUUAAAAGUCUCUGCGUGGGUCUGUUGGGUGGCUUUGGGUAAAAGGACUCCCGCGGUCAGAUGUGGUGGCUCACGCCUGUAAUCCCAGCACUUUGGGAAGCCGAGGUGGGUGAUGGUUUGAGCUCAGGAGUUUGAGACCAGCCUGGGCAACAUGGUGAAACUCUGUCUCUACAAAAAAUACAAAAAAUUAGCCAGGUGUGGUGGCACAUGCCUGUGGUCUCAGCUGCUCGGGAGGCUGAAGUGGGAGGAUCACUUGAGCCUGGGAAGUCGAGGCUGCAGUGACCUCCGACUGCACCACUGAACUCCAGCCUGAGCAACAGAGCCAGGCUCUGUCUCGAAAAAACAAACAAAAAAAGGGACUUCUGCCAGAAGGCCCUUGAAGUGAUAUAAACAUAGUUGGCAGUAAAAAAAAAAUUAUAAUUAAUUGCCCAGGGCAGGUCACACACACACACACACACACACACACACACACCCUAAUAAAACAGAAAUCAGAAACUAAUGAUUUUAUUUUCUCUUUAAUUUUUUUCAUUUUCACAUUUUCAUUUUGUUUUAAAAAUUUUACUUUUUUCAAUAUAAGAAGAAUUAAUAACCGACCUGUCGUCAAGGUAACCAAUAUUAAUAGCUUGGCAUGUCCACCUUUCUAUCUUUUUUUAAUUCAAACUUUUUGGGGGGUGUCACUGUUGCCUUUGCAAAAAGGAGAUUAUAAUAUGAACAUUUCUUUGCACCUUGACUUUCAUUCUACAAUACAUCCUGUCCUCUUUCUAGAUCGACAGAUUUUUUUUUUCUUUUUGAGACAAGAUCUCACUCUGUCGCAUAAGCCGAAGUGCAUUGGUGCACUCUUGGCUUACUGCAACCUCUGUUUCCCGGGUUCAAGUGAUCCCCCCAGUUCAGCCUCCUAAAUAGUUGGGACUACAGGUGCAUGCCAUCAACACAGCUAAUUUUUUUUUUUUUUUUUUUUUUUUUGUAUUUUUGUAGAGACGGGAUUUCACCAAGUUGCCCAGGCUGGUCUCAAACUCCUGAGCUCAAGCCGUCCACCCAGCUUGGCCUCCCAAAGUGCUGGGAUUACAGGUGUGAGCCACUGCACCCAGUCAACAGAUAUUCUCAAUUUGUUCAUUUUUGUUGGUACAUAACAUUCCAGAGAGUGGAUCAACCACAGUUAAUUCAAUCACUUAGUUAUAAACAGACAUUCAAGUUUUUCCUAGUGAUUUUGUCACUACAAAUAAGUCUGUAGUGCUCUAAUGUUCUACUAUAAUUAUGUAUUAUUUAUUUUAGAAAAACAUUUAAAAUAUAUUAAUGAAAGAGAUUAAAAGAAAGAUAAUUAAACUAUGAAGCUGGGAAGCCCUAUACUAUAUAAUACUAUACAGUCAAUGAUUUUGAAUGAAUACAUAGAUGAAUGUACUAAAAUGUUACCUGGGAAUGUGGCUCCAUGCCAUUUGUCUCUUGCAAUAAUGAUCUUUUCAUUGCAGUCUAUGUCUCCCAAUGCACACUGCAAAGGCCUUAAGAUCAGGAACUAGGCCUUUCUUCCUUGGCUCCUCCAAAGCUCGGAGCAUAGCCGUGCCAAAGGCAAACAGUCCCAGGCCCACACAUCCCAGGGUGCUCUAACAGUUUCUUCUAAAAAAUAGCAGUUUAGACUUCAGAAUGAAAUUUUCCCAAGUAUACAAUGUUAUAAACUGGUGUAUUCUCAUGCCAGCCCACAAACCCUUCUUUUAACCCAUAAUGAAGCUGAACUAUGUACUUAUAAUAUUACAGUUUCUUAUUAUUUCUGUGGGAAAAAAUGUUCUGAAUUCCAAAUGAGGAUCUGGGCAGAAGAGCCCUCCUCUACUCUGUGUGCGUGUGUGUCUGCGUGUGUGUCUGCGUGUGUGUGUCUGUGUGUCUCGUGUGUGUCUGUGUGUGUGUGUGUCUGCGUGUGUGUGAGAGACAGAGAAGGGGAGAGAUCCUUUCCGUCAUUGCCCUCAAACAAGAUAUUCUUGUCUUUCCUCUUCUGCCGAUCUGGCUGGGUAUGGACAUUGAGCAAGUGAAGUAGGCAAUAUGAUAAGUAAAUAUGAAAGUGCCGGAAAGAAAGCCGAAGAACAAAUUUAACAUAGAUGUCUGAUGUUUUUCUUUGAGUCCUCAUUCAUUUUUGAGAUUUAAGAAUUUGAAUUUGAUUGCUAAGAAUAUAGUAAUUGAAAUUUAAUGUAAGCGAAAUGAAAUUUACAAUUAGAGAAGACACUUUAGUUGUUACACAUUUCUCAGAAUUCUUAAGUAUAUUUAAAACAUGAUAUUCAUCAAAACAAAAUGUUAUUUAGAUACUUAUGAUGAGCAUGGGAUGUAUGAUUUAUUAAUAGCUAUUGAGCUGGUCACACAUUAAUUGAUACAUUAUUUUUAUACUUUGGGAGCACUGAAUCCCAGAAAGUUUGUUCUUAUAUGUUAUUAUAAGUUCCUUUGGAGAGUCAGUAUUUGAACUGCUAAGGUAAAAACAAAUACUUCUAAAAAGGAAGUAUUUUGAUGAAAUGAAAGACUGGGAGAAACUAUACAGCAUUUGUAGGAAAAAAUUAUCAUCUAUCUAGAUUUAAAAAUUCUUAAAAGACAUGUUAAUCAGUGCUUUCUGUUUUGAAGCAUGGUAGAAAAAACAGCUAGGCAUUACAGCCAGUGAAUAUAAAAAAUCAUAAGCAUAUCAGGAAAUAGGUUCUGAAAUCACCUAUAAAAUUAUGUAAUAUUUUGUCUUUUUUUUUUUUGGAGACGAGUCUUUCACUGUUGCCCAGGCUGGAGUGCAGUGGUGCGAUCUUGGCUCACUGCAACCUCCACCUCCCAGGUUCAAGUGAUUCUCCUGCCUCAGCCUCCAAGUAGCUGGGAUUACUUACAGGCACCCACCACUAUGUCCAGCUAAUUUUUUGUAUUUUUGUGUUUUUAGUAGAGACGGGUUUUUUUUUUUUUUAUUUUGUUUUUUGUGAGACGGAAUCUCACUCUGUUGCCCAGGCUAGAGUGCAGUAGCGUUAUCUUGGCUCACUGCAAGCUCUGCCUCCCGGGUUCAUGCCAUUCUCCUGCCUUAGCCUCCCAAGUAGCUGGGACUACAGGCGCCCGCCACCACGCCUGGCUAAUUUUUUUUUGUAUUUUUAGUAGAGACAGGAUUUCACCGUGGUCUCGAUCUCCUGACCUCAUGAUCCGCCCCCCUCAGCCUCCCAGAGUGCUGGGAUUAUAGGAGUGAGCCACCACGCCUGGCCGAGGCAGGCUUUCACUGUUGGCCAGGCUGGUCCUCAAACUCCUGACCUCGUGAUCCACCCUCUUUGGCCUCCCAAAGUGCUGGGACUACAGGCAUGAGCCACUGCGCCCGGCCAGCAUUUUGUCUUAAUAAAAGUCAAAUCUCUUCUCAAAAAUGUUAACUUUCCAAUAGGAAAAAGAAUCACCCAUAGCCCAUCACUCAGAGACACCCACUGUUAAUGUUUUGAUGUACUUCCCUGUGGUUUCAUGUAUGUGCCCAUCUUUACGGUGGUCAUACUCUGUUCCUUUUACUCUCAAUGUAUAGCAGAAAUAUUUCCAACUAACAUGCUUAAGUUCAUAAUCGGCAAAAGUAUCAACAAAUGAAAAGAUAUCUGUGUGGUAAGAUAUUUCUAAGCAUUGUGAGAGAUGAUAGAAUGAGGGAUAACAUUCCUCCAAUUUCUCCAUCAGCAAAAAAGGUUUGUCAGAAACUGUCAUAACAGUGUGACAUCCACUGCACACAUUGUGAAACAAGCGGCCAUAAUGCUGUUGGUUGUGUGGAGUCUGGAUAAGUAAGUAACAAGGAGGAAGGGGCCCCAUGUUGGGGAGGGCCCCAAGUGGAGAAGAACAAUGAACAGUUGGGAGAGAUGGCUAAUCACAAACAUCGGUGGGCACAACGACAUCUGUUUUGUAGGUAGCCCUUCCAGCAUGACCCUAUUAGACUUCCCUCCAGCCUGUUUCUUUGCAGACAGCCCCUUCUCUGCUGUGCUGCCUGUUGCAACCUUGCAACAUAUUUUCAUACUUUUUUCAUACUUUCUCUAAAAAAUCUGCCUUUUUUUUUUUUUUUACCUACAACUAUCCUGGUAAAUCCUUUACCAACUGUGAAGACUGCCCUGGCUAGUAGCACCCGUGGCACAUUCUACAUCAUUGGAAAGACCAAAAGAUCUUAUCAAGAUAGGAAAUACAACUAAAGAAAAGUGGAGGCAUUUUGAGCAUAGUUUGACGAUGAUGGCCCUGUAAUGUGGGUAUCUCAUAAGUGGCUGGCUCUGCCUGGCUGCCCAACACAAUCUUGCUAACUAAGGUGAUGCUGGCCAAGCCUUCUCCUGUUUGCAGUACUGUUUCUUCUCUCCUUCAGUCUUACAGCAUUUCAGUCAUGUUUGGCUGCAUUUUCUUUCUUCUCUCCAAUUAUUUGAAAUGAAGUGAAACUAAUAGUUGAUAUUAAAGACUUUGAUUUUUUUUCCUAUAUUUUUAAGCAACAUAAUCUUUUUCCUAAAUGACAUCCUACCCAGAACUUCAAUAUGUAAGACAGAAAAAAGCAGACCUUCUUUGUUUGGAAAGGAGCGGUGCCUAAAGCCAGAAUCCACAGUUUCAGGUUGAGAAAAUAUAUGACGGGCUGUUGAAACCAGUAUUUUCUUUCAAAUUACAGCACAUUCAAAUUUUACUUAUGCUGAUUGUUUUGCCAACAAAAAUUCAGUUUCGCAGAAACCAUUUAUCACAUAAGGAGUUUCUGAUGGAAAAAUCUGAAAAUUUUUAGAAAUCAAAAAAGUGCUGGCCAGGCGCAGUGGCUUACACCUGUAAUCCCAGCACUUUGGGAGGCAGAGGUGGGCGGAUCACGAGGUCAAGAGAUCAAGACCAUGGUGAAACCCUGUCUCUAUUA
RNAcentral lists this long non-coding RNA (22268 nucleotides) under Homo sapiens (human). RNAcentral's name for it is "non-protein coding LINC02427:14". The record is from RNAcentral. Lineage: Eukaryota; Metazoa; Chordata; Mammalia; Primates; Hominidae.